AUCAGGACGAACGCUGGCGGCGCGCCUAACACAUGCAAGUCGAACGGAGCUUAAAGAGCUUGCUUUUUAAGCUUAGUGGCGAACGGGUGAGUAACGCGUGAGUAACCUGCCCUAGAGUGGGGGACAACAGUUGGAAACGACUGCUAAUACCGCAUAAGCCCACGGUGCCGCAUGACACUGAGGGAAAAGGAUUUAUUCGCUUUAGGAUGGACUCGCGUCCAAUUAGCUAGUUGGUGAGGUAACGGCCCACCAAGGCGACGAUUGGUAGCCGGACUGAGAGGUUGAACGGCCACAUUGGGACUGAGACACGGCCCAGACUCCUACGGGAGGCAGCAGUGGGGGAUAUUGCACAAUGGGGGAAACCCUGAUGCAGCGACGCCGCGUGGAGGAAGAAGGUUUUCGGAUUGUAAACUCCUGUCGUUAGGGACGAUAAUGACGGUACCUAACAAGAAAGCACCGGCUAACUACGUGCCAGCAGCCGCGGUAAAACGUAGGGUGCAAGCGUUGUCCGGAAUUACUGGGUGUAAAGGGAGCGCAGGCGGGAAGACAAGUUGGGAGUGAAAACCAUGGGCUCAACCCAUGAAUUGCUUUCAAAACUGUUUUUCUUGAGUAGUGCAGAGGUAGAUGGAAUUCCCGGUGUAGCGGUGGAAUGCGUAGAUAUCGGGAGGAACACCAGUGGCGAAGGCGGUCUACUGGGCACCAACUGACGCUGAGGCUCGAAAGCAUGGGUAGCAAACAAAAGUAGAUACCCUGGUAGUCCAUGCCGUAAACGAUGAUUACUAUGGGUGUUGGGGGAUUGACCCCCUCAGUGCCGCAGUUAACACAAUAAGUAAUCCACCUGGGGAGUACGACCGCAAGGUUGAAACUCAAAGGAAUUGACGGGGGCCCGCACAAGCAGUGGAGUAUGUGGUUUAAUUCGAAGCAACGCGAAGAACCUUACCAGGUCUUGACAUCCGAUGCAUAGCACAGAGAUGUGUGAAAUCCUUCGGGACAUCGAGACAGGUGGUGCAUGGUUGUCGUCAGCUCGUGUCGUGAGAUGUUGGGUUAAGUCCCGCAACGAGCGCAACCCUUAUUGCCAGUUACUACGUUAAGAGGACUCUGGCGAGACUGCCGUUGACAAAACGGAGGAAGGUGGGGAGGACGUCAAAUCAUCAUGCCCUUUAUGACCUGGGCUACACACGUACUACAAUGGCGUUAAACAAAGAGAAGCAAGACCGCGAGGUGGAGCAAAACUCAAAAACAACGUCUCAGUUCAGAUUGCAGGCUGCAACUCGCCUGCAUGAAGUCGGAAUUGCUAGUAAUCGCGGAUCAGCAUGCCGCGGUGAAUACGUUCCCGGGCCUUGCACU
Molecule: ribosomal RNA, 1347 nt
Filed under: uncultured bacterium
Lineage: Bacteria
Description: bacterial SSU rRNA
Rfam family: Bacterial small subunit ribosomal RNA
Source: RNAcentral